CAGUAGCCGCGGGAAUACAGAGGGUGCGAGCGUUAAUCGGAUUUACUGGCCGUAAAGCGUGCGUAGGCGGCUUCUUAAGUCGGAUGUGAAAUCCCUGAGCUUAACUUAGGAAUUGCAUUCGAUACUGGGAAGCUAGAGUAUGGGAGAGGAUGGUAGAAUUCCAGGUGUAGCGGUGAAAUGCGUAGAGAUCUGGAGGAAUACCGAUGGCGAAGGCAGCCAUCUGGCCUAAUACUGACGCUGAGGUACGAAAGCAUGGGGAGCAAACAGGAUUAGAUACCCCUGUAGUCCCUGUCUCUUAUAC
This 301-nucleotide ribosomal RNA is filed under the name uncultured bacterium. RNAcentral describes it as "partial 16S ribosomal RNA". It matches the Rfam family "Bacterial small subunit ribosomal RNA", at positions 509 to 807 of the family's 1533-position model. The record is from RNAcentral.